GAUGAACGCUGGCGGCGUGCCUAAUACAUGCAAGUCGAGCGAACGGACGAGAAGCUUGCUUCUCUGAUGUUAGCGGCGGACGGGUGAGUAACACGUGGAUAACCUACCUAUAAGACUGGGAUAACUUCGGGAAACCGGAGCUAAUACCGGAUGAUAUUUUGAACCGCAUGGUUCAAAAGUGAAAGACGGUCUUGCUGUCACUUAUAGAUGGAUCCGCGCUGCAUUAGCUAGUUGGUAAGGUAACGGCUUACCAAGGCAACGAUGCAUAGCCGACCUGAGAGGAUGAUCGGCCACACUGGAACUGAGACACGGUCCAGACUCCUACGGGAGGCAGCAGUAGGGAAUCUUCCGCAAUGGGCGAAAGCCUGACGGAGCAACGCCGCGUGGGUGAUGAAGGUCUUCGGAUCGUAAAACUCUGUUAUUAGGGAAGAACAUAUGUGUAAGUAACUGUGCACAUCUUGACGGUACCUAAUCAGAAAGCCACGGCUAACUACGUG
RNAcentral lists this ribosomal RNA (497 nucleotides) under uncultured bacterium. RNAcentral's name for it is "partial 16S ribosomal RNA". It matches the Rfam family "Bacterial small subunit ribosomal RNA", at positions 28 to 507 of the family's 1533-position model. The record is from RNAcentral.